CGUUUUUAGAGACAUCCCGAGAGUCACUCGCGCGCAUCUGCUGUGGAGCCGCAGCGGGAGCGCCGACCGGCGUUGCACGGAGCAGCUCCGCGCUUCCACGGGAGAAUGAGCUCGUUCACCGCACCCUGCUGCGCGGCGCCGCGCUCCAGCGCUCCGGUCCACUCACUCGCCUUAGACUAGUAGCCGAGCGCAAACUGCGCUGUCGCUUCUUUCCCUGCCUUCCCACGUCUCCCUCCCUCCAGGAGUGCGAUCAUGCCGUGCGACUCGUGAGCCAGCCAAGACCAUGGAUGCGGUGGACGCGCAGAGCCGGAGAGGUGAGCAGUUCAACAACAACGGCAGCGUGGAGGAGAGGUACCGCGCUCUGGCGUACGACACUGCGCUCAGCACCCUGCUCGCCGUGCUCGUCUACGUGCUCCUCAAAGUCACUUUGGACGGGAUCCGGCAGUGGCGCGCCAGGGUCUCCGUGCUCGUGGUGGGCUCCGGUCCCGUCGGGCUCACGGCCGCCCUGGUCGCUGUCCGCUCCGGCAAGGUGCUGAAGCUGACCGUGCUGGACGAGCGCUCCAGGACGGCUCUGCUCUGCAGACCCCAGCAGAUCGCCCUGGACCCCCGCAGCGUUCAGUUCCUCCUGGGGCUCGGCGUGGAUUUCGAUAACAUGGAAGGGUGCUGGCACAGCGAGCACUUCUUCACCAAGAUCGGCGUUUUCCAGGAGUAUCUGCUGAGCAUCCUGGAGCAGAAGAAGCAGAGAGUCGAUGUUAAAGUACACCUGGGCACCAAGUUCACAGAUGACUACUUGAGGAGGAUCCCUGCGCCGGACUGGCCACGCAUUAUUGUGGUGGCUGAUGGCUCCUGCGGCGACUCCUGCUCUGUGCUGGGAAUCAGCUCUGACUACAUUGUGGAGUCUUGCAACGCCUAUGGAGCCAAUGCCACCAUCGAGAGGCUCGACCAAAGACAGGUCCCCACACCUGAGAUAAGGGCUCACAGUUUGUAUUUUGACCUGUCUGCCUACGGAGUUGAUGCCGUCAAAGAGACCCGCAGUUCAGCACAGGCCACCGUCAAGCCCGGGUUCCACCUGAAGAUAUACGGGACAUUCCGCAACCGCUACAUGGCCUUGGUUUGCCCAGCAUCGGAUUCCAAGAUGGUUCGCUUCUUGCGGCACACCGCCAACUCCUCAGUCAUGAAGAACAUCUUUCACCAGUCUUUCAACGCCUACAAGACGGACAUCGAGCCGCGGCUGAACGACCUCACGCUGCAUCACAUGCAGUGCAGUCGCAAGCUGUUCGAAAUCAUGCUGUCGCACCGGCGGGUCAGCGCCGCCUACAUCGAGGGUGACAACGUGGCAGUGACCGUUGAGGGUGAGGCUGCGCGUGUCUUGAACUUUGAUACAGGCUGCGGGGUCAACCUUGGCUUGAGGGGCCUGGAAUCACUGGGGACUUUCAUCUACAAGACGGCCACGGCUCUAGACCAGAACGACAUCUUCGAGGCCCUUUCGGCCAAGAUCCAGCACUCCAAACAGGUGGCGGAAACGUUCAGGCAAACGGGACUGGCCUCGACCAUGUUCGAGUGACUGAGCCGGAAAUGAAGGGUCACGGCGGAGAUGACCGCGCAGAGUAAAUAGCGCUGCAGUAAUCGAAGCGACGCUGAUGGACCCGAGAAAAACGGACACGCGGCGGGGAGUACGGGUAAGACGAACGAGGGAAAGCGGAACAGAAGAGCCGUGUGUCUAAAAUGAAUAUACAUUUGUAUGUCUCACUGAUUUUUGAAGCAUGUCUUAUGCGAUCAGUUCAUAUGUGACUUGGGGAAAGUGAAGACACGAAUACAGCAAAAGAAGAUGGAUUCACCAUGCUAAGUAUGUGCUAGAAAUGACUUGUUCCGCACGCGAACUCUCUCUAGAUGUAUCGGACCCUGUGCGUUGUCAUGGUGUUACCCCGAGGCCUGGCAAACCUUUUCACUUACUUUACUGUGACUGUCUGGAAAUGAUUUUCUUGUGAUACUGCUUUUUUUAUGGAGUGAUUUGAGAGUACAACACUUUCUGGAAUAAUGGGCACACUGAUAAAUGUCAAAUGUGAAUGCUGCUGAAUCUCGGUAGACCUGCGCAUUACUAAUCAUGCAGCCUCGCAAUACAGCAUAACGUUGAGUUUUUUGUUCUUUAUUCUCCAGCCGGCCUUUGCUCGGAAACCACACUAUCGGCAUUUGCGACGAAGAGCUAAAUGAUUGCUUGAGAGCAGAAUUAACUGUUUGUCUGUCUUCGACUUGAUUAUUACAGCAAUGUGUUACCGUGUCUGACGUAUUUAUAUCACGGUGGUCUUUCUCCUUUGAAAAGCCCGCAGCAGCAGCAGCCUCCACUGAAGUCUAUUGACUAUAUGUGAGUGAAUAUGUGCAUCUGAGUGACACUGGUGUUUGCUGACUGUACUGGUGACCCCAGCAGAGACACACUAAUGGAAAAAUGUGCUAUUAGGUGGAUUAGGGUCAUCGGCCUCCUGGAAAGUGCCUCACAGAUCAAAGCAUAAAAGCUAUGUUAUUGUACACUUAAAGAAUGUAUUAAUCUUUCUACCAGCUCAAGUGUUUUAUAUCAAUAUCUGUGCAUUGCCCUGACUGAAAAAUGCUCGUGACUUGAACUUUUCUUGCUCUCCUCUCAAGAAUGAUUCAAUGUAUAGGGGCAGCAUAUACAUUUCUUACAAAGAUAGACAAUAAAACAAGUUACUGUCUUUUAAACGUCA
Molecule: long non-coding RNA, 2717 nt
Organism: Scleropages formosus (Asian bonytongue)
Lineage: Eukaryota; Metazoa; Chordata; Actinopteri; Osteoglossiformes; Osteoglossidae
Source: Ensembl